CCCUUAGAUGUUCUGGGCCGCACGCGCGCUACACUGACGGAUUCACCGAGUUGAUCCUUGGCCGAAAGGUCCGGGUAAUCUGGAAACUCCGUCGUGAUGGGGCUAGAUUAUUGCAAUUAUUAAUCUUCAACGAGGAAUUCCUAGUAAGCGUGAUUCAUCAGAUCGCGUUGAUUACGUCCCUGCCCUUUGUACACACCGCCCGUCGCUCCUACCGAUUGAAUGGUCCGGUGAAGCGUUCGGAUGGACGCAUCGCGGUGGUCCGCCGCUGCGGCGCGUCCAGAAGUUCGUUAAACCUUAUCAUUUAGAGGAAGGAGAAGUCGUANCA
This 325-nucleotide ribosomal RNA is filed under the name uncultured eukaryote. Its description in RNAcentral is "partial 18S ribosomal RNA". It matches the Rfam family "Eukaryotic small subunit ribosomal RNA", at positions 1470 to 1796 of the family's 1831-position model. The record is from RNAcentral.